Molecule: ribosomal RNA, 561 nt
Filed under: Microthielavia ovispora
Lineage: Eukaryota; Fungi; Ascomycota; Sordariomycetes; Sordariales; Chaetomiaceae
Description: partial 28S ribosomal RNA
Rfam family: Eukaryotic large subunit ribosomal RNA
Source: RNAcentral
GCAUAUCAAUAAGCGGAGGAAAAGAAACCAACAGGGAUUGCCCUAGUAACGGCGAGUGAAGCGGCAACAGCUCAAAUUUGAAAUCUGGCUUCGGCCCGAGUUGUAAUUUGCAGAGGAAGCUUUGGGCGCGGCACUAUCUGAGUCCCCUGGAACGGGGCGCCAAAGAGGGUGAGAGCCCCGUAUAGAUGGACGCCUAGCCUGUGUAAAGCUCCUUCGACGAGUCGAGUAGUUUGGGAAUGCUGCUCAAAAUGGGAGGUAAAUUUCUUCUAAAGCUAAAUACCGGCCAGAGACCGAUAGCGCACAAGUAGAGUGAUCGAAAGAUGAAAAGCACUUUGAAAAGAGGGUUAAAUAGCACGUGAAAUUGUUGAAAGGGAAGCGCUUGUGACCAGACUUGCGCCGGGCCGAUCAUCCGGUGUUCUCACCGGUGCACUCGGCCCGGCUCAGGCCAGCAUCGGUUCUCGUGGGGGGAUAAAGGCGCCGGGAACGUAGCUCCUCCGGGAGUGUUAUAGCCCGGCGUGUAAUGCCCUCGCGGGGACCGAGGUUCGCGCAUCUGCAAGGAUG